CUCCAGAGGUUUAUAACAAUUUUUAUUUAAUAAAAAGUUUUAUAUUGGCUUGAAGUUUAAUUAAUUCUUUUAUUAAAAUGUAAGUUUUGAUUUUUAAAUAAUUUAAUUAGCAAUUUUUAAUAUUAAAUAUGAAAUAAGUUUUGAAUUAGAAUUAGAAUAUAAAUAUUAACAAAAUUUGUGCCAGCAGUUGCGGUUAUACAAUUAAUAUUUUUAAACAUUUUGGAUUAAAGUAAAAUUAAUAUUUAUUUAAAAUUUUUAUAAUAAAGUGAAAUUUAUAUAAAAUAAUAAUAGUUAUAGUAAUUGAAGCUUUGAAAAUUUUAUUUUAAACUAGGAUUAGAUACCCUACUAUUAGAAUUGUAAAUUUAUAUCCUUAUUAUUAUAAGUUAAAUUCUUUAAAUUAAAAAUUUCUGGCGGUAUUUUAGUCUUUUCAGAGGAACCUGUUAUAUAAAUGAUAAUCCACGAUUUAACCAACUUAUUUCAUUAGUUUGCAUAUCGUCGUAAAUAAAAAUUUUAUAAGAAAUAAUUUUUAAAAUAAAUUAUAUUAUAAAUCAGAUCAAGAUACAGCUUAUAAAUAAGAAUAAAUGGGUUACAAUAAUUUUAAUUACACGAAUAUCUUUUUUUAAAUUAGAUUUAAGGUGGAUUUGAAAGUAAAUAUUUUAAAAUUAAAAUUUUGAUUAAGCUCUAAAAUAUGUACAUAUCGCCCGUCGCUUUCAUUAAUAUGAAAUAAGUCGUAACAAAGUAGCCUUACUGGAAAGUGUGUCUAGAUAGU
RNAcentral lists this non-coding RNA (769 nucleotides) under Lasioderma serricorne (cigarette beetle). Lineage: Eukaryota; Metazoa; Arthropoda; Insecta; Coleoptera; Ptinidae. The record is from RNAcentral.